Camelina sativa (false flax) is the source of this 322-nucleotide non-coding RNA. Lineage: Eukaryota; Viridiplantae; Streptophyta; Magnoliopsida; Brassicales; Brassicaceae. The record is from RefSeq and is a predicted model, not a curated record.
UAUCUUUUGGGCAGUUAGUUCUUCAUCAUCCUCUUUCUAUCUUCUUCCUUGGGGCAUCUCAAUUCCUUCCUUAAGCCAAUUGAGAUAGAGUAGCGCCAGGAAGCUACAAUGCACGCACAGACGAAUUUGUUGUGGUACCGUUAAAUUAAUCAAGCUCAAAAUCACCGGGGUGGUGUGUGAAGAUGCCUCUAUCAAAUUCAAGGGUUUAGGCGUUUUGAUUCUCUGUAUCUGUAUCUCAUAUCAAAAUCAGAAUCCAGGUCAGAAUCUGUGCUUUCCCAGCUUCUUUCUCCCAAUCUAUCCUUGCAAUAAAGACCAGCAAUAU